This 340-nucleotide ribosomal RNA is filed under the name uncultured bacterium. RNAcentral's name for it is "bacterial SSU rRNA". It matches the Rfam family "Bacterial small subunit ribosomal RNA", at positions 43 to 382 of the family's 1533-position model. The record is from RNAcentral.
UCAGGCCUAACACAUGCAAGUCGAACGGCAGCACGGGUGCUUGCACCUGGUGGAGAGUGGCGAACGGGUGAGUAAUAUAUCGGAACGUACCUUAUUGUGGGGGAUAACGCAGCGAAAGCUGUGCUAAUACCGCAUAAUCCCUAAGGGGGAAAGCGGGGGACCGUAAGGCCUCGCGCAAUUAGAGCGGCCGAUACCUGAUUAGCUAGUUGGUGAGGUAAAGGCUCACCAAGGCAACGAUCAGUAGCUGGUCUGAGAGGACGAUCAGCCACACUGGGAGGGAGACACGGCCCAGACUCCUACGGGAGGCAGCAGUGGGGAAUUUUGGACAAUGGGGGCAACC